RNAcentral lists this ribosomal RNA (274 nucleotides) under uncultured bacterium. RNAcentral describes it as "partial 16S ribosomal RNA". It matches the Rfam family "Bacterial small subunit ribosomal RNA", at positions 523 to 796 of the family's 1533-position model. The record is from RNAcentral.
AUACGGAGGGUGCAAGCGUUAUUCGGAAUCACUGGGCGUAAAGGACGCGUAGGCGGGAAGCCAAGUCUGAUGUGAAAUCCUAUGGCUUAACCAUAGAACUGCAUUGGAAACUGGUUACCUAGAGUAUGGGAGGGGGAGAUGGAAUUAGUGGUGUAGGGGUAAAAUCCGUAGAUACCACUAGGAAUACCGAAAGCGAAGGCGAUCUCCUGGAACAAUACUGACGCUAAGGCGUGAAAGCGUGGGGAGCAAACGUGAUUAGAAACCCUAGUAGUCC